GAUGAACGCUGGCGGCGUGCCUAAUACAUGCAAGUCGAGCGAACGGACGAGAAGCUUGCUUCUCUGAUGUUAGCGGCGGACGGGUGAGUAACACGUGGAUAACCUACCUAUAAGACUGGGAUAACUUCGGGAAACCGGAGCUAAUACCGGAUAAUAUUUUGAACCGCAUGGUUCAAAAGUGAGAGACGGUCUUGCUGUCACUUAUAGAUGGAUCCGCGCUGCAUUAGCUAGUUGGUAAGGUAACGGCUUACCAAGGCAACGAUGCAUAGCCGACCUGAGAGGGUGAUCGGCCACACUGGAACUGAGACACGGUCCAGACUCCUACGGGAGGCAGCAGUAGGGAAUCUUCCGCAAUGGGCGAAAGCCUGACGGAGCAACGCCGCGUGAGUGAUGAAGGUCUUCGGAUCGUAAAACUCUGUUAUUAGGGAAGAACAUAUGUGUAAGUAACUGUGCACAUCUUGACGGUACCUAAUCAGAAAGCCACGGCUAACUACGUGCCAGCAGCCGCGGUAAUACGUAGGUGGCAAGCGUUAUCCGGAAUUAUUGGGCGUAAAGCGCGCGUAGGCGGUUUUUUAAGUCUGAUGUGAAAGCCCACGGCUCAACCGUGGAGGGUCAUUGGAAACUGGAAAACUUGAGUGCAGAAGAGGAAAGUGGAAUUCCAUGUGUAGCGGUGAAAUGCGCAGAGAUAUGGAGGAACACCAGUGGCGAAGGCGACUUUCUGGUCUGUAACUGACGCUGAUGUGCGAAAGCGUGGGGAUCAAACAGGAUUAGAUACCCUGGUAGUCCACGCCGUAAACGAUGAGUGCUAAGUGUUAGGGGGUUUCCGCCCCUUAGUGCUGCAGCUAACGCAUUAAGCACUCCGCCUGGGGAGUACGACCGCAAGGUUGAAACUCAAAGGAAUUGACGGGGACCCGCACAAGCGGUGGAGCAUGUGGUUUAAUUCGAAGCAACGCGAAGAACCUUACCAAAUCUUGACAUCCUUUGACAACUCUAGAGAUAGAGCCUUCCCCUUCGGGGGGGCAAAGUGACAGGUGGUGCAUGGUUGUCGUCAGCUCGUGUCGUGAGAUGUUGGGUUAAGUCCCGCAACGAGCGCAACCCUUAAGCUUAGUUGCCAUCAUUAAGUUGGGCACUCUAAGUUGACUGCCGGUGACAAACCGGAGGAAGGUGGGGAUGACGUCAAAUCAUCAUGCCCCUUAUGAUCUGGGCUACACACGUGCUACAAUGGACAAUACAAAGGGCAGCGAAGCCGCGAGGUCAAGCAAAUCCCAUAAAGUUGUUCUCAGUUCGGAUUGUAGUCUGCAACUCGACUACAUGAAGCUGGAAUCGCUAGUAAUCGUAGAUCAGCAUGCUACGGUGAAUACGUUCCCGGGUCU
This 1373-nucleotide ribosomal RNA is filed under the name uncultured bacterium. Its description in RNAcentral is "bacterial SSU rRNA". It matches the Rfam family "Bacterial small subunit ribosomal RNA", at positions 28 to 1381 of the family's 1533-position model. The record is from RNAcentral.